RNAcentral lists this microRNA precursor (97 nucleotides) under Ovis aries (sheep). RNAcentral's name for it is "miRNA (ENSOARG00000023356.1)". Lineage: Eukaryota; Metazoa; Chordata; Mammalia; Artiodactyla; Bovidae. The record is from RNAcentral.
GUGACCAACAUGAAUGCACGUGUGUGUGUGUGUGUGUGUGUGUGUGUGUGCGCGCGCGCGUGCAUGCACGCAGGCAGACACACAGAGACCUGCAGUC